Molecule: long non-coding RNA, 342 nt
Organism: Humulus lupulus (European hop)
Lineage: Eukaryota; Viridiplantae; Streptophyta; Magnoliopsida; Rosales; Cannabaceae
Exons: 3
Source: RefSeq, a predicted model, not a curated record
UAUCAUAUUUGAUUCGGACUGGAACCCUCAAAAUGACCUACAGGCAAUGAGUAGAGCUCAUAGAAUCGGCCAACAAGAAGUUGUGAACAUCUACAGAUUUGUCACAAGCAAAAGUGUUGAGGAAGAUAUCUUGGAGCGAGCUAAGAAAAGAUGGUUCUUGACCACCUGGUGAUCCAGAAAUUGAAUGCAGAAGGCAGAUUGGAGAAGAAAGAAGCAAAGAAGGGGAGUUAUUUUGACAAGGUACGGGUCCUGUGGGGGUGUUUUGAAAUAGUUUCCUGAAUUAGUUGGAUUAUGUACAAAAAAAAUUUCUGUUAAAAAAUGAUAAAGUAGAUUAUCAGUGGG